AGUGGUAAAAAUAUAAAUAACGAUACCUGGAAUACUUCCCGAUUAAAAUGCUACAUCGGUAUUAAUCUGUGCGCUUGCAGAUCCAAUUCAUUAUUUAUUUAGAAGAGCAAUUGCAUAUUUCAAUACCGUGUCUCUUAUAUCAUGCUGGGGAGGACAACUUGGCUUAAGUGGUGUGAGGGAUAGGUUUGGCAUUUUUGGCACCGUUGCUAGAUUUAGAACUUAGUCUACUUUUAGUAAUGAUGUUAAGAAUACCCAACA
RNAcentral lists this long non-coding RNA (258 nucleotides) under Sorghum bicolor (sorghum). RNAcentral describes it as "long non-coding RNA (SBIC_LNC017590)". The record is from RNAcentral. Lineage: Eukaryota; Viridiplantae; Streptophyta; Magnoliopsida; Poales; Poaceae.